CUACCCACAGGAAGAGAAGAAGGGAGUUCAGACGUACCGAGUUCACCGCGGAGAGCAAGGGAAGAGCUGGGGAUGGAAGGGCCUGGAGUAGCACGGCCUUUUAUACGCUCCCCUGGGGCUCUGGGCCGCAGUAUAAAAGUGGCCCAACUGCCAGCUCCUCCAUCCUCUCCUCGCGCCUUCCUCUGCUCCGGGAAGUUGUGGCUGCUGUCUUCAGGAGCCUGUUGCGUUGUGCUCAGCCACGUCCCCUCCUGAGAGCAGGGUGAGAGGAGCCCCACCUGGCAAGACCAGGGCGCUCCAGGGCAGGGCGUUUGGCUGCGUGAACAGAUGGGUGCUGGUACCAGGGCUGAUGGCCAGGAAGUGCAGAGCCGAUUCCAAGGAGAGGGAACCUCCUGAUCCGCAAGAGAAAAUCUUUCCCUGCCUAAGGCCACAGCGUCAAGGCUGUGCUCAACCCACCUGAAAACCCCAGCAUCCGUAUUCCCAUUCUGGGAAGGGGCUUAAUGAGGA
This is a long non-coding RNA of Pezoporus flaviventris, 504 nucleotides long. RefSeq lists it as uncharacterized. The transcript is spliced from 3 exons. The record is from RefSeq and is a predicted model, not a curated record. Lineage: Eukaryota; Metazoa; Chordata; Aves; Psittaciformes; Psittacidae.